Molecule: ribosomal RNA, 496 nt
Filed under: uncultured bacterium
Lineage: Bacteria
Description: partial 16S ribosomal RNA
Rfam family: Bacterial small subunit ribosomal RNA
Source: RNAcentral
AUGAACGCUGGCGGCGUGCCUAAUACAUGCCAGUCGAGCGAACAGACGAGGAGCUUGCUCCUCUGACGUUAGCGGCGGACGGGUGAGUAACACGUGGAUAACCUACCUAUAAGACUGGGAUAACUUCGGGAAACCGGAGCUAAUACCGGAUAAUAUAUUGAACCGCAUGGUUCAAUAGUGAAAGACGGUUUUGCUGUCACUUAUAGAUGGAUCCGCGCCGCAUUAGCUAGUUGGUAAGGUAACGGCUUACCAAGGCAACGAUGCGUAGCCGACCUGAGAGGGUGAUCGGCCACACUGGAACUGAGACACGGUCCAGACUCCUACGGGAGGCAGCAGUAGGGAAUCUUCCGCAAUGGGCGAAAGCCUGGCGGAGCAACGCCGCGUGAGUGAUGAAGGUCUUCGGAUCGUAAAACUCUGUUAUUAGGGAAGAACAAAUGUGUAAGUAACUAUGCACGUCUUGACGGUACCUAAUCAGAAAGCCACGGCUAACUACGUG